UGCCGCCAUAUUGAAUUUAUCAACUUGUAUCAACUUCAACCGAAGUAUCGAUCGCUUUCGAUAAUAUAAUCGAUCGAACGUUGGUAUACAUUGAACGUAUUUUGAUUUUAUAACAAGAAAUUUUUUAUAAAUAAUAUAAUAUUAAAAUGAUGGAAGAGAAAAAUUAGUAUCAAGUAGAAAUAAUCGUGACUGAAUGUAUCAGUGACGUGAUAGGUGAAAGGUUCAAUGAAUGUUGGCAAAGAUCCGCUUUGGAAAAUUGAUCUUUUAUCUUCGAUACAUCGAUUUUAUUUGACUAUACGAAUAACGGAAAAUCUUGGAAAGAAAUUUCUAAGCGGUUAAUUAAUUGAUCCCGCUGAUGAGGAUUUUGCUCGGAUAGGUUAGGAUCAAUUAAACGACUACUUUUUUUUUUCUAAAAACAAUACGUUACGUUUUCGAAUUUCAUCUCGACGAGGAAAAACAGGUAACUUUCUAUAAAAGUUUAAAGAAGAAACGACAAGUUUUUCUGCAGGAGAACUAAUUAUUCUUGUUUCAAAUUACACGCAUGCGCGCAACGAGGAUGGAAUAUUCAAGGUUAUAACAAAGAAUAAUGACCGGAAGAUACAUGUAUGUACAUAUGUAUUUAUUCGAACGACUGAAAAAAACUAGCUGCCAUAUAUCGAAGACAGAACGAUACGGACUGGCACUAGACAGAUCUGAACGGAAUCUAUCUGGAAUCGGUUAUCUACCCGGUGCAUGUGUACCUUGCUGCCGUAUAUGUGCAUCCUUUCAAGGAUAACAUCGGCAGGAUGCUUAAGCCUUUCUCGUUCGAUGACGUAUUCUCAAUAAUAUUGGCUCUUUCAGAAGUACAAGGACGCAUCAAUGUUCAGAAAAGAUAGAUAUUUUUCGGGAUUCUACUAGAGGGCAUUAAUCGAACCAUCGGUAAAGAAAAUUGCAUAUCAUAAGGAGCUUGGCAACAAUCUCGUGACGAACAUUGAUUGAUUGAAAUGACGAAAAUGAAAUUCCAAAAGACGUGAGAUAAACAACAAGUAUCUUGGUGGCACGCGCUUCUAAGAUAUUUUAACGUUUCUCGUCACGAAUUGCCAGGAAACGUGUUCUCUGUAAGAAAACAGGUAGUCCUUUAGAGGCAACCAUCAAUUCGGACGUCAUAGGAGAUGACACGUUCCAUUUCGUCAACAUCUUUUUCCUUUUUAAUUUCGUAUCAGGUUGCGAAUUUUCUCAUCUCCUUUGGCGCGCAUCACGAUGAACGGAGGUGCGGUGUGUUGGGAACGGGAGAAACGGGAGAAACGGAGAAAGAUAACGAACCGUACGAGAGUGAGACGCGUCGUGAAAAGAGAGGAACGAAUGAGGGGACAGAGGCGGAGUGCACCGCUCGUACCAGGCGGUGCGCCCUGGUACCAACGGCACGCCGGUAGACUGGUAGACUCGGCCAGACUUAGUUAGUGAGACGCGAUCAGGAGUCGAGGAGGGGAAGAAGCCAGAGAAGUGCACUCGCCUACCUCGCCACAAUCUUUUUUCCACGAUCCUCUCGCGAUCCCCUCGCGACCUUCUCUAGCCAAACAGGCUCGAUAGGGACUUCUCCUGUCGAGGAAACCUACACUCUUUCAUACCGGGUACACGUUUCUUAAUCAUUUAUCAUCCACCUGAUUAUUUUUUUAGCAAGAUUUCAGAAAUAUGUUAAAGGAAAGGUUUUAAAUGAGGAAACAGCAUCAAAUGAGAUUCUAUAAUAUUAUGUUUAUUAUUACCACUGGUAAAGUGGUCAAGCGAAAGCAUUCGUUGUACUAACGUUGCUCUAUCGUAAAUCCCUGAGAAUAUACACAUUCCAUGCUCAUACACCAGGAUCUCAAUUAUUACAAAUCACUUUCACCCAUUGUUCCAUGUGGAUGUGUGUAAUUACACGACUGAUUGCUGUAGGGAAACAUAUAUUUGACUAUGUAUGACUCAGCAGCGAUGGUCGUAUUUAUAAGGUGGUCGUGCCAGUGACCAGAAUCUCUCUUAAUCCUUAAUUGCUGACGUAAAAAGUCUUGCUUGACCUCGUUGCAUUUUCAAAUAAAGCAUAAAACAUUAGCCAAACUAAAAUUAAACAUUCAUACACAUAUAAUGUAAAACAGAACGACUGGAUCAGUAACGUAGAAGGAGGAUUGGAAAAUUUUGUUUUCAAGCAAGCAAGCAAAUGUUAACUGCAAAAAGACAUGAGACAUAAUUCUAGCUUAAUAGCCCGUAAUUUGUGUCUAGGAUGGAAUCGAAGAAUCUUUGAUGUCAUGUAACGGAUGACCGAUAAAUACAAACCUUGUCCCGAUUCUGUCCAGCCAAUCUAGAUUCACUUGACGAAAGAACGAUGACCCGAAAACUUGGUCAUCGAACAUCAAAAGGAGGUACGAACGUACACGACCUUAAUUUCGCUCCGGUGUCUUUGACUGCUGCUGCAAUUGCCUGAUGUGUCGAUGCCCAUCGGUGCUAAUCAGAUUACGUGUUCGAAGCUUCUUAAAGGCAAAUCGUUUGCGAAUGAAACAGAUUUUGCAAACCAAGACUGUCAUGGUUUAUAAUACAGGUUUAAUUAGCUGUUUACGCGUAUAGAGUUCUUAUUAGAGAACAUCAAGUUGCAAAUAUCAAUCAUGAAUAAAGAUGACUCUUUGCUAUAUAAAAUAAGGUCAUCGUUACAUAUGUUACAUUACCGGAUGUCAGAAUUAAAAUUAAACACGACCAUGAAAAACUGCAGGAAAGGUAUAUGUACAUACAUAUCGCUCCACGUAAUACCUUAGAAGAGUCUAACGAUGUCGACAAGACAAUUUGAAACUCGGCUGCGCCUAAAUGGAAAUACCGUGUCGUUUUAUAGAAAGCGUACCCUUAAAGGCACUACAGACGAAUUCGUUCCUCUCGUGACGCUUAUGGCCAUACAACUCUCCUACAAAAUGUGGAAGAGGGAAUUGAAAGUGUGCAGAAAGAUUCACACGCGCAACCAAAGAUCCUGGAUAUAAUUAUAGCAAGUGAUUACGUUAUUCAUUGAUUAAAUAUCGAAAGGAUAGAAAAUUGCCAACGGGUUGUGCAGAACGCUUAAGAAGCUCCCUUCACCCACGGUAUUAAUCGAGCAUUCGUCUCUCCGUGGCCUUGCAAACACGUACUACAAGUACAGUAGGAUAGACAGCUUGUACUCCUGCGAGGUGUAUCACACAGUCAUCAAGCAUCAUCGGUCGUAAAUUAGAAAGGCGGCAGUGUGAUUCGACGGUGUCGUUAGGGUCGAGGGAAGAAAAGCCAGGAAUCUUAAAUAGAGGCAACACGAGGCCCGGCAUUCGUAUUCUUCUUUCUCGUUGAUAUUCUCUGAUCGUGGCUCGAUGCGCCUUCCUAAAGGUUUUCAGGUCGUCUGCCAUCAUUCGCAUUUACCAUGUAUAUACUACUCGCUAAACUUUAACGUCUAAAGUUUUACCAUCGGUGGUUCAUUGUUAAAAUUUUUCCUGAAAAUCCUAUAUCAUUAGGAUUUUCAGCAUUAUUUCAGCAUUAUUUCAGCAUUAAAUAAGAAACGUGAAAAGUUGAGUAAGAAAAAAAAACUGAACGGUUUCACUGUAUAAUAAUUGCAUAUAGUAGAUAUAAUUAACGUUAGAUGUUCAUCCACGAAGGAUAGUUUUAAAAUAAUAGAUAAAUCACAGUUGGUUGAAGUUAUACUGGCAAGCACGCUGACAUUAAGAAUUGCUAUUCAGUCAACGGCAACCCAGAACCGCUAGAUUCGUGCUAUUCGUGCUCUCUUAUAAUCCCAUGGGUGAAAGUUGCAGUGUUUCCCACGCGAUCGACUAGUGGACGAAUCAAUGAAAUCUCUGCACUUUUGUCCUAUCCGUCUCUACGCUUAUUCAAUCGUUCAUUCAACCACCUGUUUACACGUUUAUCAUAUGCAUCAUUUUGUCUAAUUAUUUUCCUUCUAUCUAUAGUACUCUGAAACUAUCUAUAAUCGUACACUUCACUUUAUUGCGUUAUUUAUAUUUGUUAUUCGCAGUGUGGUGUAUUUCUUACAGGAUGUAUGUAUACAAGGAUACUUGAAGGGAUCGUGUUUCCUAAGAUUUAACAGCUUCUCAGUUCCAAAAGACCGAUGACUGAGGUUGGUAUCGCGCGACACACAAACAGUGCAGGAGGACAUAGAAACAAAGAAAUAAUGAGCAAGAGAAAGAGAAAGAGAAAGAGAAAGAGAAGGAAGGAAAGAAAGAAAAGUGUAGAGAAGGCAGAAGGAGAACGUAGAAUCGGGGAUGCAUGGUCCCGCUAUCCGGUCGGCCGCUAGGCCGAGGUCAACGAACCUCGGCCCGCCUACCGACUUGACUUUACCUGCCAGCCUCGAACCUGCCAACCUGGCUAACUUGCUCGACUCCGAAGAGUGACACGCGUGACACGCUUGACAAGAGAAGAUUUAUUGUAUAAAGCGAAUGGUUGAACGGCUACUAAAUUAGCAUCGAAGACUGUACUCUCGAUUUUAUACGAUAAUACAUUGAAGACAAGCUGCCACGUGAAGGAGAAGAUAAUAAGAUAAUCGUAUCCCUAUGAAUUCUCCGGAAACCGUUGAACUUGAUCUACAGUAAUAUAGCGAACCUUUCACGAGUUCAGAGAAGUCCAUCGACCUUGAACCGGAGAACUAGAGAAAAAAAAUCUUUAGAAUAAACACGAUCGUGUUACUGUUUUACGCGUCUAUCCUUUGUACAAUAUUCCACGCGUAUAACUUCUUUGUCAGAGAUCAUUCUUUUUGCCAUUUUAACUAAAUCGUAACCUACUUUCUUUAUAAAUUAGAAAUUGAAUAAUUUGUAUUAUAUAUGUACAUAUGUUGACAUAAUAACGGUUACUAUUACGACUAUCUAUUAACCAACUAUCUAUUAUAGUUUACCGAUACUUUACAAUCACUGCCGGCAAUAACGGUUUUUACCAGACGUAUGUGUAAACUCGUCGAAGAGAAAUGAGUUAAUUCUUGGUUUUUAACAUCGGUCAAGCUUCCAUUCAGCUGUUUCGUUUCAUUUCAUUAAUGUUUUACACAUAUGUAUAUGUUUUCAGAAUCACUGAUCUAAUGGAUUGGCUAAUAACGCUUCAAGAGACACAUAAAAUAUUGCCAUCCUCAAUUUAUCCAAGAUGAUUGAUAUUUGAAACGAAGGGUGCGCUUGGUCUUCCGUUUUUUUUUUCUUCGAGGUCAAAGGAAACGAUGUUUCCUGAAUACACAAGAGGAUAGCGGUAAAUAAUUAAACUUUGAUUAAGGGGAGAAGCUUAAUGAAAUACAAUGCAGGAAAAUUGCACUGUUUAUAGAAAUAGUCUAAAUAAGAUUGUUAUUAUCGCGAUCACGAGUAUCGAGGCUGGUAGAUCCUCCUGUACGGUGCAUGUGCAGUUAUUAGUACGAGAAAAAGAAGUGGCACGAAUCAGUCGGUCGAUGAAACCCAAGAACCUUGCACUCAACAGUUGCCUGACUUUAUGGAUGAGCACGUGCUAUUGGCUAAGAAAUUAGAAAAACUAUUUAAAAAAAAGGAGGUACUGCAGAAAUGCCAUCAAUCCCUGAUAUACAUAAGGUGUAAUUAUGGUAUGUACAAAUUCAACAAGCUCUAACAACUUUUGUUCUCCUCAUUCGGCAUCACUGUUGCAGCCAACUCGUUUCUCAGCCACGGAAAGGUAUGGCUCUUGUAACUCGUGUCAAAAUACAAUACGGUGAUCGCAUGAAACGGUUUCAGAUUACGCAGAUCCGUACCUGCAUGGAUACACCCUCGAGUUCUUUUUUUCUGUUUUGACAAUUUAGGUGAUUCAGUCCAGCGAAUUAGCAAAGAAAAAAAAAAAACAUCCCAUACUUGAUCGAAGCUCAAGAGCAAAAUGACUGGCCUUCUCUGAUUGUAACAUUUGUAUAUUAAUGCAAGGCAAUGGUAACUAAAAUUCUAUCCGGAAUUCUAUCUGGAAGAAGGCCAGGGAAUGGGAAUCAUCGAGAAUUCGGAGCAUUCUGUUGAUCGUGUUUACUACAAGUUCGAAAAACCGGUUUUCCUCUCUCCAUAAAACUUGGACCUGUGGAUGGCGCAUUAGAAGCUUCGCGUUACGGUAGCUCUCUCCAUGCAUGGUAUCGAUCAUCAAAAUUUACAUCCUACAAAUUAUUAUCAAUUUCACCUUCUAAAAAAUAAUCGACAAAUAUUUUAUCAGUCCAGGUAUGACAUACAUCUGACUUAACUCCCUCCAGGUUAAAGAAAGGAAAGAAUUCUCUGGGAAUGAAGAAGAAUUUUCCAUCGUUUCGUUUUGUUUUCAAAAUAUCCCGAUCAGUUUACAGAGAAACUAAUACAUAUACACUUGUAUACUACAAGUGAAACACCGGUUUCGUAAAAAUUCCGCGUGUUGUUUGUCUGUAUUUAUUCGGUUUGCCGCCAGAACCGUUCCAAGUGUUAGCUGCGUCUCCCUCGAACGGAUUAGCGAAUGAGAAAACGCGUGAAAACGACGAAGAAUCCUAUUACAAUGUCCUGUAUACAUAUCGCGGUUUCAUUCGAAACUAUAAUACGUUUUUCACGAAUAUUAAACACCAGUAAUUUCCCAUUUGAUUAGAUAUAAUUCGAGGAACGAAAUAUUUAUUCAGAGAAAUGAGAGCCUGUUGUAUAAAUAUUUGUUCAUUCAACGUAUGUACAUACAUACGUUUGCAUUUUCUCGCAUCUUUCUCGCGUGAUAAGAUGGCGCAACAGGCAAAUGAAGUAUCUUCGUUUCUUUUUUAUUUGCCCCACCGACGCAAUAAACGUAUGGAAAUAAUGUGAAACGCAUUUAAAUUGCAACAUAACAAAGGAAUAUGAAUUAUAAGAAUUUUGUUUCAUUUCCAUUACGGUACAUGUAAUGGAUACAAGAUUGGUACUGACACGGUAAACAGAUUUCACUUCUGUCAGCUGAGUGAAAAUGUCCCCCUGUACCUAUAGUAUGACGGUCAAUUAUUCAGGUAACUGCAUUGUAUGCGCGCAGAAAGAUAAAUGGUAAUUCGUUCACUGCUAAAUUUAACUUCCUGUACCCGGAAAGGUCAACACUACAUUUCACAGAAGUUCACCUUCGAACCUCGAGGUCAAUGUUUACUAUCUUCUUUUUCCCUUCGUUACAUGUUUUAAUUAUAUUCAGAGAAUCUGGUAUUUCCAUUGAAAAUUUUAUUUUACUUGAACAGUACAUAUAAAGCUUUACAAGGUACAAAUAAUAAUUUGAAUCUUUUUCAGGAAAUUUAUACACCUCCAGUCUGCUGACUUUCAACUUCUAGUAGCUAUUAGGGAUUAGGAUGUCUAGUUACAUAAAAGUCGGGCGACAGCAUGGAUAUAACGGUAAACUCAAGUUAAUUCGUUAACUGCAUUCCCAUGCGAGGUGGGAUUUUUGAAAAGUCGGACGUUCGACUAAAAGCACGCGAUAAGUCGCACACCUAGCGGGAAGCAGAGAAAGCAGCAGCCAGCAGAUGAAAAACCGAUCACGAUUUCAACGUUUUCAAAUUUCAGCAAAUUUCAUCUACAAGAGGAAAUCAGGAGUCUGAUGGCGGCAACCUGUGCGAUCCCGGCCAACGCUAGGAUUAGCAGAAAUCCAUCAAGGACCGAGUACAAAGUUUUCGUUCCUAAAGUAUUCCCGGAAGCGCGGUUACCACCAACGAGGAGCGUGCGUGGCCGGCGUGGCCCCGCAGCCACUGCCAUCGCACCGUCCUUCUCACCGCACACCGUUCACUUUAAUUUUUCUAUCUCCACUGUUAUUCUGCCGGCACAACGAUUCUCGAGGUAAAUCCUUUAUCUGUGACCGCGACGAAAUUUUAUUAUUUCUUCCGAACUUUAAUCGAGGCCAAAAUACAAGAAUGUCAAAAGCAAUAUUAAUAAUCAAUGUUUCAGGUGAGAAUGAAAAAUGAGAAUCUUCUUCUCGAAGACGAACGACACUUGUUUCAACGAAGUGGAAUAAUUUAUUACACGUAUACACGCUUUUCAAAAUAAAACGUGCAAUUCUUAAGAUAAAAGAAAAAAGGAACAAAAGUACGAAAAAAUGAAGGGAAAAAAAACGCGAAAAGCAUCAACGACUCUCGGAAUCAGUUCAUAGCUCUCGCGUAAACGACAUUUACGCGGCCGCGGUCAGCGAACGACUAACUUGAUGGCGCGUACUUUACCGGAUGGAGGGGUUUCUUCCCAACACUCGAUUUACCAGGCAUGCGCAGAGAAGGGAUUCUAAGGACCACGUGUGGUAAAUCCUGUCCGGGAUAGUAUUCGGCUAGCGAAUACCUGCGACCGGUGUGACACGAAUCUUAAACACGACAUAAAAUCCGAUCAUUCAAAAUAAUUCAUUAAUGACCAACAUACAUAAUGCAUCUGAUAAUCUUUUUUUCUAUAACAAUUAUUUCAACUUUGGCUACUAAAUCUUACUGAAAAAGAAAAUUUAAUCUUUAAGUUAACCACCUCUGAUGAUUAGAGAUUAAUUAACACUAUAGGAUACACGAUUACCAUUUUCUUUUUUUUUAAUUUCAAUUCUGUGAUUUACAAAUCCAUCGGUGUUUUUAGGGUCUGGCGUGAGGUACGCAAAAAAUUCUUUUACCUGUUCCUCGAAGGAUGCAUAGAAAGCGAAUGUAAACAAGAUGAACUUACCUGACCUGAGGUAAACGAGUCGAGUUUUAUCAAAAGGAUACAAUUAAGAAAAUGAAAAAUAUUAAUCCUAUAAGUACAUAUAAGGGAGAAGAAACAAAACGAGGGAGCAUACUCUAUCUGAAAGGAAAAUGGUAAUUUAUCUUUGCAUAUAUGUAGAACACUCUUUAUGAAUGAAGUUGUAUCGUUAA
Molecule: non-coding RNA, 8749 nt
Organism: Osmia lignaria (orchard mason bee)
Lineage: Eukaryota; Metazoa; Arthropoda; Insecta; Hymenoptera; Megachilidae
Source: RefSeq, a predicted model, not a curated record